CCUACGGAGGGCAGCAGUGGGGAAUAUUGGACAAUGGGCGAAAGCCUGAUCCAGCCAUGCCGCGUGUGUGAAGAAGGCCUUCGGGUUGUAAAGCACUUUCAGUGGGGAAGAAAGCCUUGGGGCUAAUACCCUCGAGGAAGGACAUCACCCACAGAAGAAGCACCGGCUAACUCCGUGCCAGCAGCCGCGGUAAUACGGAGGGUGUGAGCGUUAAUCGGAAUUACUGGGCGUAAAGCGCGCGUAGGCGGUCUGAUAAGCCGGUUGUGAAAGCCCCGGGCUCAACCUGGGAACGGCAUCCGGAACUGUCAGGCUAGAGUGCAGGAGAGGAAGGUAGAAUUCCCGGUGUAGCGGUGAAAUGCGUAGAGAUCGGGAGGAAUACCAGUGGCGAAGGCGGCCUUCUGGACUGACACUGACGCUGAGGUGCGAAAGCGUGGGUAGCAAACAGGAUUAGAUACCCCGGUAGUC
This 465-nucleotide ribosomal RNA is filed under the name Vreelandella stevensii. RNAcentral describes it as "partial 16S ribosomal RNA". It matches the Rfam family "Bacterial small subunit ribosomal RNA", at positions 338 to 795 of the family's 1533-position model. The record is from RNAcentral. Lineage: Bacteria; Pseudomonadati; Pseudomonadota; Gammaproteobacteria; Oceanospirillales; Halomonadaceae.